Molecule: transfer RNA, 73 nt
Filed under: Camelus bactrianus (Bactrian camel)
Lineage: Eukaryota; Metazoa; Chordata; Mammalia; Artiodactyla; Camelidae
Also listed under: 2 other names
Rfam family: tRNA
About the family: Transfer RNA (tRNA) molecules are approximately 80 nucleotides in length. Their secondary structure includes four short double-helical elements and three loops (D, anti-codon, and T loops).
Source: Rfam by way of RNAcentral
GAGGGUAUAGCUCAAGUCGUAGAGUGAGUGCUUAGCAAGCAUGAGGUCCUGGGUUCAAUCCCCAGAACCCCCU